Molecule: ribosomal RNA, 558 nt
Filed under: Nakaseomyces glabratus
Lineage: Eukaryota; Fungi; Ascomycota; Saccharomycetes; Saccharomycetales; Saccharomycetaceae
Description: [Candida] glabrata partial large subunit ribosomal RNA
Rfam family: Eukaryotic large subunit ribosomal RNA
Source: RNAcentral
CGGCGAGUGAGCGGCAAAGCUCAAAUUUGAAAUCUGGUACCUUUGGUGCCCGAGUUGUAAUUUGGAGAGUACCACUUUGGGACUGUACUUUGCCUAUGUUCCUUGGAACAGGACGUCAUGGAGGGUGAGAAUCCCGUGUGGCGAGGGUGUCAGUUCUUUGUAAAGGGUGCUCGAAGAGUCGAGUUGUUUGGGAAUGCAGCUCUAAGUGGGUGGUAAAUUCCAUCUAAAGCUAAAUACAGGCGAGAGACCGAUAGCGAACAAGUACAGUGAUGGAAAGAUGAAAAGAACUUUGAAAAGAGAGUGAAAAAGUACGUGAAAUUGUUGAAAGGGAAGGGCAUUUGAUCAGACAUGGUGUUUUGCGCCCCUUGCCUCUCGUGGGCUUGGGACUCUCGCAGCUCACUGGGCCAGCAUCGGUUUUGGCGGCCGGAAAAAACCUAGGGAAUGUGGCUCUGCGCCUCGGUGUAGAGUGUUAUAGCCCUGGGGAAUACGGCCAGCCGGGACCGAGGACUGCGAUACUUGUUAUCUAGGAUGCUGGCAUAAUGGUUAUAUGCCGCCCGU